Solanum tuberosum (potato) is the source of this 340-nucleotide long non-coding RNA. RefSeq lists it as uncharacterized. The record is from RefSeq and is a predicted model, not a curated record. The transcript has 3 exons. NCBI's taxonomy places the organism in Eukaryota, Viridiplantae, Streptophyta, Magnoliopsida, Solanales, Solanaceae.
AAGACUAGUGGAGUGAUGGUGGCAUUACAAAUUUUUGAAAUGUGUUAUGUAGUCUCUUUUUAUACAAGUCCAGAUUAAAGAUCUGUUGAUAUAUGGUUCCUGUUUAUCUUUGGAAGUACAGCUGAGGGGCUAGCCUUUGGUAAUAGUGUCUAUUGGAUACGUUUUGAUGAAGAGUUUUCAGAGAAGAAAUUUAAAUCUUCAAAUCCUUUUGGCAUCAAAUACAAGUUCCAUCUGGAGGAUGCUGUUGAUUGUCCUGAGUGGAUUGUUCCUUUCCCCGUCUUCAAGGCAAUGGCUGAAGAGGUAUUAGCAUGUGUGCCUCCCACUUUUAGUUGUUGACAUG